Molecule: ribosomal RNA, 325 nt
Filed under: uncultured eukaryote
Lineage: Eukaryota
Description: partial 18S ribosomal RNA
Rfam family: Eukaryotic small subunit ribosomal RNA
Source: RNAcentral
CCCUUAGAUGUUCUGGGCCGCACGCGCGCUACACUGAUGCGUUCAACGAGCCUAUCCUUGACCGACAGGUCCGGGUAAUCUUUGAAUCUGCAUCGUGACGGGGAUAGAUUAUUGCAAUUAUUAAUCUUCAACGAGGAAUGCCUAGUAGGCGCAAGUCAUCAGCUUGCGUCGAUUACGUCCCUGCCCUUUGUACACACCGCCCGUCGCUCCUACCGAUUGGGUGUGCUGGUGAAAUGUUCGGAUCGGCCGUUUGUCGCGGUUUCCGCGUCAUGUGGCUGAGAAGUUCAUUAAACCCUCCCACCUAGAGGAAGGAAAAGUCGUAACA